GAUGAACGCUGGCGGCGUGCCUAAUACAUGCAAGUCGAGCGAACAGACGAGGAGCUUGCUCCUCUGACGUUAGCGGCGGACGGGUGAGUAACACGUGGAUAACCUACCUAUAAGACUGGGAUAACUUCGGGAAACCGGAGCUAAUACCGGAUAAUAUAUUGAGCCGCAUGGUUCAAUAGUGAAAGACGGUUUUGCUGUCACUUAUAGAUGGAUUCGCGCCGCAUUAGCUAGUUGGUAAGGUAACGGCUUACCAAGGCGACGAUGCGUAGCCGACCUGAGAGGGUGAUCGGCCACACUGGAACUGAGACACGGUCCAGACUCCUACGGGAGGCAGCAGUAGGGAAUCUUCCGCAAUGGGCGAAAGCUUGACGGAGCAACGCCGCGUGAGUGAUGAAGGUCUUCGGAUCGUAAAACUCUGUUAUUAGGGAAGAACAAAUGUGUAAGUAACUAUGCACGUCUUGACGGUACCUAAUCAGAAAGCCACGGCUAACUACGUG
Molecule: ribosomal RNA, 497 nt
Filed under: uncultured bacterium
Lineage: Bacteria
Description: partial 16S ribosomal RNA
Rfam family: Bacterial small subunit ribosomal RNA
Source: RNAcentral